UACGGGGGGGCAAGCGUUGUUCGGAAUUACUGGGCGUAAAGGGCUCGUAGGCGGCCAACUAAGUCGGACGUGAAAUCCCCAGGCUCAACCUGGGAACUGCGUCCGAUACUGGAUGGCUUGAAUCCGGGAGAGGGAUGCAGAAUUCCAGGUGUAGCGGUGAAAUGCGUAGAUAUCUGGAGGAAUACCGGUGGCGAAGGCGGCAUCCUGGACCGGCAUUGACGCUGAUGAGCGAAAGCCAGGGGAGCAAACGGG
Molecule: ribosomal RNA, 252 nt
Filed under: uncultured bacterium
Lineage: Bacteria
Description: partial 16S ribosomal RNA
Rfam family: Bacterial small subunit ribosomal RNA
Source: RNAcentral